RNAcentral lists this transfer RNA (75 nucleotides) under Stenotrophomonas indicatrix. Its description in RNAcentral is "tRNA-Arg". It matches the Rfam family "tRNA". From Rfam's summary of the family: Transfer RNA (tRNA) molecules are approximately 80 nucleotides in length. Their secondary structure includes four short double-helical elements and three loops (D, anti-codon, and T loops). The record is from RNAcentral. Lineage: Bacteria; Pseudomonadati; Pseudomonadota; Gammaproteobacteria; Lysobacterales; Lysobacteraceae.
GCGCACCACUCAGUUGGAUAGAGUACCUGGCUACGAACCAGGCGGUCGGGAGUUCGAAUCUCUCCGGGCGCACCA